AGUCACUGACAUUAGAUACCCGGGUAGUCCCAGCCGUAAACUAUGCGCGUUAGGUGUACUGGUGACCACGAGUCACCGGGGUGCCGAAGGGAAACCGUGAAACGUGCCGCCUGGGAAGUACGGUCGCAAGGCUGAAACUUAAAGGAAUUGGCGGGGGAGCACCGCAACGGGAGGAGCGUGCGGUUUAAUUGGAUUCAACACCGUAAAACUCACCAGGGAAGACUGUUACAUGAAAGCCGAGAUGAAGACUCUGCUAGAUUUUCAG
This 265-nucleotide ribosomal RNA is filed under the name uncultured archaeon. Its description in RNAcentral is "partial 16S ribosomal RNA". It matches the Rfam family "Archaeal small subunit ribosomal RNA", at positions 719 to 982 of the family's 1478-position model. The record is from RNAcentral.